GGCACCAACCAGUCAAUGAGUGACUUCUACAAGAAAAAAGCUAUUGCGCUGCUGCAGUUUUCACACACACACACACACACAAAAUCCGCAUAGCUAGCUUUCCAACAGACUGAGAAUCUUGCAGUAGCCUAUACAUACGGUAGUAGGCUUAUGAAUAAAUGUGAUAGUAGGCUAGACGACGUUCUUGAUAAAGCAACCAACGACGACAACCGCUCAAGCAAACCGUUAUCUCUUGACGCCUGCCUGAUAUAAUGUGCCUAUUUACGCACUGACAGCCAUCCCAAGCUAGAAGAUGUCCUACAAAAUAGGAUACUCCUUUUCAAAGCCAAGGAAGGCUAUCCCUUGUUUGCACACCACCACCAUGUGACAGAAUUAUCAUUUCUUUCGAAGAGACAUAUCCAGGGAAACUACUUCUACCCAGCUACUAAUGUAGGCCUACCGGUUGUCACGGUUGCAUGUGAUGUUGCUGUGAUAGCUCCACUUAGUGUCACUGCAGAGCAGUCAGAGUAUUUAGAUAGAGCGCAGUUUAUAGGCCAGACAUGACUAUCUAAUAAUACUGUAUUUUGAUUUCUCUCCUUACAGGCUUGAGGCACAUCUCUAGGCUAGCCCACGAUAGCCUGCUAAAUACAUCCUUUCACAUUAAUACAGUUACACGGCUGUCAAGCACCCAUGGCCCAUUAAAUAGGGGGCUCCCAAGUGGCACAGCGAUCUAAGGCACUGCAUCUCAGUGCUAGAGGCAUCACUACAGACCCUGGUUCAAUUCCAGGCUGUAUCACAACCGGCCUUGAUUGGGAGUCCCAAAGGACAGUGCACAAAAAAAACUGAGUUGGGUGGUAGGUUCCAAAUGUACCGUGGCCCUUUAAAAACAUCACUCGUGGCUUCAAGCCACACCUACCAAAUGGAGCAAACGUAUCCCCAAAACAUUCAACAUUCUUCAACAGACUUUGAGGUAUAUUUGCUCGGUUUGGUUGGCAUGACUUGAAGCGAUGAGUGAUGUAUUUAAAGGGCAGCAGCCAUGCCGACAGCGUUCCCCGGUCCCUCCCUGUUUCUCAACUGGUCGUUCAGAACGGCACCAUUUCCGUUUAAUUGAACUUAACACACUGUUUUUUUUUCAUACUAAACACAGCUAAGGUCUCCCUUUCUGAAUAUGCAUCCCAAAUGGCACUCCAUUCCCUAUAUAGUGCACUACUUUUGACUAGGGACCUAUAGGGCCUGGUAAAUAGUGCACUGUGAAGGGAACAGUGUACCAUUUGGGAUGAAACUCUCAUCUCAGACCAAAAGCCUACCAUUUCUAAUACAAAUGCCUGUUGUGAUUAUUCUUAUAUGCGCAUUUUCGUGGAACAGUUUCAUUUCAUUUAAUUGUUUUUCACGUGACCUCCUGUUUUGUCCUAAUUUUGUGAUGGGUGUUAUAAUAAAGUUUCAAAUUUGGGGAGGC
Oncorhynchus masou masou (cherry salmon) is the source of this 1435-nucleotide long non-coding RNA. RefSeq lists it as uncharacterized. NCBI's taxonomy places the organism in Eukaryota, Metazoa, Chordata, Actinopteri, Salmoniformes, Salmonidae. The transcript has 3 exons. The record is from RefSeq and is a predicted model, not a curated record.